RNAcentral lists this ribosomal RNA (794 nucleotides) under Lysinibacillus sphaericus. RNAcentral describes it as "bacterial SSU rRNA". It matches the Rfam family "Bacterial small subunit ribosomal RNA", at positions 8 to 786 of the family's 1533-position model. The record is from RNAcentral. Lineage: Bacteria; Bacillati; Bacillota; Bacilli; Caryophanales; Bacillaceae.
AGAGUUUGAUCCUGGCUCAGGACGAACGCUGGCGGCAUGCCUAAUACAUGCAAGUCGAGCGAAUCGAUAGGAGCUUGCUCCUUGAGAUUAGCGGCGGACGGGUGAGUAACACGUGGGCAACCUGCCCUGCAGAUGGGGAUAACUCCGGGAAACCGGGGCUAAUACCGAAUAAUCAAUUCCUUCGCAUGAAGGAAUUCUGAAAGACGGUUUCGGCUGUCACUGCAGGAUGGGCCCGCGGCGCAUUAGCUAGUUGGUGGGGUAAUGGCCUACCAAGGCAACGAUGCGUAGCCGACCUGAGAGGGUGAUCGGCCACACUGGGACUGAGACACGGCCCAGACUCCUACGGGAGGCAGCAGUAGGGAAUCUUCCACAAUGGACGAAAGUCUGAUGGAGCAAUGCCGCGUGAGUGAAGAAGGUUUUCGGAUCGUAAAGCUCUGUUGCGAGGGAAGAACACGUACGGGAGUAACUGUCCGUACCUUGACGGUACCUCGUCAGAAAGCCACGGCUAACUACGUGCCAGCAGCCGCGGUAAUACGUAGGUGGCAAGCGUUGUCCGGAAUUAUUGGGCGUAAAGCGCGCGUAGGCGGUCCUUUAAGUCUGAUGUGAAAGCCCACGGCUCAACCGUGGAGGGUCAUUGUGGAAACUGGGGGACUUGAGUACAGAAGAGGAAAGCGGAAUUCCACGUGUAGCGGUGAAAUGCGUAGAGAUGUGGAGGAACACCAGUGGCGAAGGCGGCUUUCUGGUCUGUAACUGACGCUGAGGCGAAAGCGUGGGAGCAAACAGGAUUAGAUACC